This 72-nucleotide small nucleolar RNA is filed under the name Microtus ochrogaster (prairie vole). RNAcentral describes it as "Small nucleolar RNA SNORD113/SNORD114 family (ENSMOCG00000002420.1)". It matches the Rfam family "Small nucleolar RNA SNORD113/SNORD114 family". From Rfam's summary of the family: The imprinted human domain at 14q32 contains two clusters of tandemly repeated small nucleolar RNAs named 14q(I) and 14q(II) snoRNAs. These two clusters are named SNORD113 and SNORD114 respectively in the HGNC approved gene symbol nomenclature. Lineage: Eukaryota; Metazoa; Chordata; Mammalia; Rodentia; Cricetidae. The record is from RNAcentral.
UUUAUCUGUGAUGACAACUGUUGCCGUAUGAGUCGUGGAUCAUGACUACAGGUCUGAGAGUCUGCGCUCCAC